AUUGAACGCUGGCGGCAUGCUUUACACAUGCAAGUCGAACGGCAGCACGGACUUCGGUCUGGUGGCGAGUGGCGAACGGGUGAGUAAUACAUCGGAACGUACCCAGUAAUGGGGGAUAACUAGUCGAAAGAUUAGCUAAUACCGCAUACGCCCUACGGGGGAAAGAGGGGGAUCGCAAGACCUCUUGUUAUUGGAGCGGCCGAUGGCUGAUUAGCUAGUUGGUGGGGUAAAGGCCUACCAAGGCGACGAUCAGUAGCGGGUCUUAGAGGACGAUCCGCCACACUGGAACUGAGACACGGUCCAGACUCCUACGGGAGGCAGCAGUGGGGAAUCUUGGACAAUGGGCGAAAGCCUGAUCCAGCAAUGCCGCGUGCGUGAAGAAGGCCUUCGGGUUGUAAAGCGCUUUUGUCUGGGAGCAAAUCCUUGUGGCUAAUACCCACCGGGAUGAGAGUACCAGAAGAAUAAGGACCGGCUAACUACGUGCCAGCAGCCGCGGUAA
This 499-nucleotide ribosomal RNA is filed under the name uncultured bacterium. RNAcentral's name for it is "partial 16S ribosomal RNA". It matches the Rfam family "Bacterial small subunit ribosomal RNA", at positions 30 to 523 of the family's 1533-position model. The record is from RNAcentral.